RNAcentral lists this ribosomal RNA (261 nucleotides) under uncultured Oscillospiraceae bacterium. RNAcentral's name for it is "partial 16S ribosomal RNA". It matches the Rfam family "Bacterial small subunit ribosomal RNA", at positions 78 to 339 of the family's 1533-position model. Lineage: Bacteria; Bacillati; Bacillota; Clostridia; Eubacteriales; Oscillospiraceae. The record is from RNAcentral.
AAGUGAAGCAGAGGACAGUGGCGGACGGGUGAGUAACGCGUGAGGAACCUGCCUUUCAGAGGGGGACAACAUUUCGAAAGGAAUGCUAAUACCGCAUAAAAUAACAGUACCGCAUGAUACAGUUAUCAAAGAUUUAUCGCUGAUAGAUGGACUCGCGUCUGAUUAGAUAGUUGGUGAGGUAACGGCUCACCAAGUCGACGAUCAGUAGCCGAACUGAGAGGUUGAUCGGCCACAUUGGGACUGAGAUACGGCCCAGACUCC